GCCUCCUUGGCGCAAUUGGUAGCGCACCGCACUUGUAAUGCGGGGGUUAGCGGUUCGAGUCCGCUAGGGGGCU
Molecule: transfer RNA, 73 nt
Filed under: Candidatus Rhodoluna planktonica
Lineage: Bacteria; Bacillati; Actinomycetota; Actinomycetes; Micrococcales; Microbacteriaceae
Rfam family: tRNA
About the family: Transfer RNA (tRNA) molecules are approximately 80 nucleotides in length. Their secondary structure includes four short double-helical elements and three loops (D, anti-codon, and T loops).
Source: Rfam by way of RNAcentral